CUGUCAUUUACCGGCUACCAUAUCUCCUUCGAAAAGUCUCUAAAUUUUGCUACAAUGGCUCGAAUUUCAACAACAAUCGCAGCAACUACUCGUUUGCUCUCCACUGGUACUAUCACAUUCAUUAUUCAUCUAUUUAUCUAUUUGUAUCCUUUUGUGUAGGUCACUGAUUUAGUUUUCAUUUUGUAUUUGUUGCAUCUGAGCGGGGGUAGUGUUGCUGCAGCUAUUGGAGUUCGAGCCAUUCUAGCAAAGUUCAAAGACUUUUUGGAGGAGGUAUGAUAGGCGGCGAUAAUUGUAGGAAGAGAAAGGGAAUGACUUAAUUUAGGAUAAGGGAGGGGUAUUAGUUGC
Molecule: long non-coding RNA, 345 nt
Filed under: Arachis ipaensis
Lineage: Eukaryota; Viridiplantae; Streptophyta; Magnoliopsida; Fabales; Fabaceae
Description: long non-coding RNA (AIPA_LNC000391)
Source: RNAcentral